CUCCUCUGCUCCUGUGCGAUUCCCCACCCGGCUCCUCAUCCACUUCCGCCAUUUCCUCCGAUUUGCCGCCGGCGAAGGUAUAUGUCGCUGCUACCAUCAGUAAACUAUUCCCCAUGCUAUCACACAUCUACAUGUCGCUUAUUUUUUGUCUGAAUUUUGUUUCCUUGAGGUGGUGGCGCUGGCGCAACUGACUGGGUGAGUGCAUGGAUCUCGGCGAGCUCGUCGAGUCUGGCGACACGGCCAUGGAUAUGGCCAAGGAGAGUGCGGGCUACACUCCUCAAAGUUUAAUUGGCCGGAGGCUUUGGAUGAUGGUGGCACAGAGGUAUUGAGGGAUCUCACGGAGAGUAGGGAACAGUAGCAAGACGUGAGCAGCUUCUGCUGGCGGAUGUUAGUUGUUGCCCUCCUGCUAUGCGACCUGCUACCAAAUAAUAUGGAGGAGGUUUUCUGUUAGAAACAUUAGUUAGAACUGUAAACAUAUCUGAGUGUUGUAUAUCUUUCUCUAGCUUUUAUUGUGGUGUGUCCUUGGUAACAAACACGAAAUAAUAAUCAGGAAAAACCUCGAGAGAUCUUAUGACCUCCUUUACCUUUGUACUGUGUGCAAAC
Molecule: long non-coding RNA, 603 nt
Filed under: Triticum aestivum (bread wheat)
Lineage: Eukaryota; Viridiplantae; Streptophyta; Magnoliopsida; Poales; Poaceae
Description: long non-coding RNA (TAES_LNC002166)
Source: RNAcentral